RNAcentral lists this ribosomal RNA (260 nucleotides) under uncultured bacterium. RNAcentral's name for it is "partial 16S ribosomal RNA". It matches the Rfam family "Bacterial small subunit ribosomal RNA", at positions 96 to 354 of the family's 1533-position model. The record is from RNAcentral.
UGGCGGACGGGUGAGUAACGCGUGGAAAACCUGCCGUAUACUGGGGGAUAACACUUAGAAAUAGGUGCUAAUACCGCAUAAGCGCACAGCUUCGCAUGAAGCGGUGUAGAAAAACUCUGGUGGUAUACGAUGGUUCCGCGUCUGAUUAGCUAGUUGGUGGGGUAAUGGCCUACCAAGGCAACGAUCAGUAGCCGGCCUGAGAGGGUGAACCGGCCACAUUGGGACUGAGACACGGCCCAAACUCCUACGGAAGGCAGCAG